Molecule: ribosomal RNA, 253 nt
Filed under: uncultured bacterium
Lineage: Bacteria
Description: partial 16S ribosomal RNA
Rfam family: Bacterial small subunit ribosomal RNA
Source: RNAcentral
UACGAAGGGGGCUAGCGUUGCUCGGAAUUACUGGGCGUAAAGCGUGCGCAGGCGGUUUGCUAAGACAGGUGUGAAAUCCCCGGGCUUAACCUGGGAACUGCGCUUGUAACUGGCAAGCUGGAGUGUGGCAGAGGGGGGUGGAAUUCCACGUGUAGCAGUGAAAUGCGUAGAGAUCCGGAGGAACACCAGAGGCGAAGGCGGCAACCUGGCACGUUACUGACGCUCAUACACGACAGCAUGGGGAGCGAACGGG